RNAcentral lists this ribosomal RNA (474 nucleotides) under Agama caudospinosa. RNAcentral's name for it is "partial 16S ribosomal RNA". It matches the Rfam family "Bacterial large subunit ribosomal RNA", at positions 1849 to 2597 of the family's 2925-position model. The record is from RNAcentral. Lineage: Eukaryota; Metazoa; Chordata; Lepidosauria; Squamata; Agamidae.
AAGGUAACGCCUGCCCAGUGAGAAAACUUUUCUUAAACGGCCGCGAUAAAACCGUGCGAAGGUAGCGAAAUCACUUGUCUCCUAAAUAGAGACCAGUAUGAAAGGCCACAUGAGAAAGAAACUGUCUCUUGAAGAUCGCCAAUGAAACUGAUCUGGCUGUGCAAAAGCAGCCACAACAAAACAAGACAAAAAGACCCUGUGAAACUUUAAACUACACGACAACUAAAUGCCAAUAAUUUUAGGUUGGGGCAACCAAAGAGAAACAAAACCUCUUAUACAUACUAGACAAACAAGUCAAAUUAACAAAUACGACCCAGUAAGACUGAUCAUUGGACCAAGCUACUCCAGGGAUAACAGCGCCAAAUUCUUGAAGAGUUCACAUCAACAAGAAUACUUACGACCUCGAUGUUGGAUCAGGGUAGCCCAACAGUGCAAAAGCCGCUAACGGUUCGUUUGUUCAACGAUUAAUACCCU